ACGGAAGGCAGCAGUGGGGAAUAUUGCACAAUGGGGGAAACCCUGAUGCAGCGACGCCGCGUGAGUGAAGAAGUAUUUCGGUAUGUAAAGCUCUAUCAGCAGGAAAGAAAAUGACGGUACCUGACUAAGAAGCCCCGGCUAACUACGUGCCAGCAGCCGCGGUAAUACGUAGGGGGCAAGCGUUAUCCGGAUUUACUGGGUGUAAAGGGAGCGUAGACGGCUUUGCAAGUCUGAAGUGAAAGCCCGGGGCUCAACCCCGGAACUGCUUUGGAAACUGUAGAGCUAGAGUGCAGGAGAGGUAAGUGGAAUUCCUAGUGUAGCGGUGAAAUGCGUAGAUAUUAGGAGGAACACCAGUGGCGAAGGCGGCUUACUGGACUGUAACUGACGUCGAGGCUCGAAGGCGUGGGGAGCAAACAGGAUUAGAUACCCUGGUA
This 434-nucleotide ribosomal RNA is filed under the name uncultured Lachnospiraceae bacterium. RNAcentral's name for it is "partial 16S ribosomal RNA". It matches the Rfam family "Bacterial small subunit ribosomal RNA", at positions 341 to 792 of the family's 1533-position model. The record is from RNAcentral. Lineage: Bacteria; Bacillati; Bacillota; Clostridia; Lachnospirales; Lachnospiraceae.